This 74-nucleotide transfer RNA is filed under the name Clostridium perfringens. Its description in RNAcentral is "tRNA-Phe". It matches the Rfam family "tRNA". Rfam says of the family: Transfer RNA (tRNA) molecules are approximately 80 nucleotides in length. Their secondary structure includes four short double-helical elements and three loops (D, anti-codon, and T loops). The record is from RNAcentral. Lineage: Bacteria; Bacillati; Bacillota; Clostridia; Eubacteriales; Clostridiaceae.
GGAAAGUUAGCUUAAUGUGGGCAAAGCGUUUAAUUAAAGAUUAAAAGAAGUGAGUUCAAAUCUUACACUUUCCU